RNAcentral lists this ribosomal RNA (253 nucleotides) under uncultured bacterium. RNAcentral describes it as "partial 16S ribosomal RNA". It matches the Rfam family "Bacterial small subunit ribosomal RNA", at positions 524 to 776 of the family's 1533-position model. The record is from RNAcentral.
UACAGAGGGUGCGAGCGUUGUCCGGAAUCACUGGGCGUAAAGGGCGCGUAGGUGGCCCGACAAGUCACUGGUGAAAGCUCGACGCUCAACGUCGAGUCGGCCAGUGAUACUGUUGGGCUGGAGCACUGUAGAGGCUCAUGGAAUUCCGGGUGUAGCGGUGGAAUGCGUAGAGAUCCGGAAGAACACCGGUGGCGAAGGCGGUGAGCUGGGCAGUAGCUGACACUGAGGCGCGACAGCGUGGGGAGCAAACAGG